This 506-nucleotide ribosomal RNA is filed under the name uncultured bacterium. RNAcentral describes it as "partial 16S ribosomal RNA". It matches the Rfam family "Bacterial small subunit ribosomal RNA", at positions 29 to 523 of the family's 1533-position model. The record is from RNAcentral.
AUUGAACGCUGGCGGCAGGCCUAACACAUGCAAGUCGGACGGUAGCACAGAGGAGCUUGCUCCUCGGGUGACGAGUGGCGGACGGGUGAGUAAUGUCUGGGGAUCUGCCCGAUAGAGGGGGGUAACCACUGGAAACGGUGGCUAAUACCGCAUAACGUCGCAAGACCAAAGAGGGGGACCUUCGGGCCUCUCACUAUCGGAUGAACCCAGAUGGGAUUAGCUAGUAGGCGGGGUAACGGCCCACCUAGGCGACGAUCCCUAGCCGGUCUGAGAGGAUGACCAGCCACACUGGAACUGAGACACGGUCCAGACUCCUACGGGAGGCAGCAGUGGGGAAUAUUGCACAAUGGGCGCAAGCCUGAUGCAGCCAUGCCGCGUGUAUGAGGAAGGCCUUCGGGUUGUAAAGUACUUUCAGCGGGGAGGAAGGCGAUGUGGUUAAUAACCGCAUUGAUUGACGUUACCCGCAGAAGAAGCACCGGCUAACUCCGUGCCAGCCGCCGCCGUAA